Molecule: ribosomal RNA, 439 nt
Filed under: uncultured Bradyrhizobium sp.
Lineage: Bacteria; Pseudomonadati; Pseudomonadota; Alphaproteobacteria; Hyphomicrobiales; Nitrobacteraceae
Description: bacterial SSU rRNA
Rfam family: Bacterial small subunit ribosomal RNA
Source: RNAcentral
CCUACGGGAGGCAGCAGUGGGGAAUAUUGGACAAUGGGCGCAAGCCUGAUCCAGCCAUGCCGCGUGAGUGAUGAAGGCCCUAGGGUUGUAAAGCUCUUUUGUGCGGGAAGAUAAUGACGGUACCGCAAGAAUAAGCCCCGGCUAACUUCGUGCCAGCAGCCGCGGUAAUACGAAGGGGGCUAGCGUUGCUCGGAAUCACUGGGCGUAAAGGGUGCGUAGGCGGGUCUUUAAGUCAGGGGUGAAAUCCUGGAGCUCAACUCCAGAACUGCCUUUGAUACUGAAGAUCUUGAGUUCGGGAGAGGUGAGUGGAACUGCGAGUGUAGAGGUGAAAUUCGUAGAUAUUCGCAAGAACACCAGUGGCGAAGGCGGCUCACUGGCCCGAUACUGACGCUGAGGCACGAAAGCGUGGGGAGCAAACAGGAUUAGAUACCCUGGUAGU